GCAGUCUCCAACCCAGACCGCCAGACUCCACCCGCCUUAGGGCACAGCUGCUCCGAGCCCACCUGGUGAGAAGCCCCUGGGGUGGAGGGAAGGACUCUCCUUAACUCUUCUGUCACUUUUCUGGUCCCCAUCCCUUCCUUACAGACCCUGGUGGCUGACAUCCCGACCCAUUCCCUUCUCAGGUGCAAGUUGCAGGCACUCUUCAAUUUCCCAGACCCCUUUCCCCUGGAUAUUGAAUUCUAGUCCCCUCAAGAGUAUUGUGUGCCAGCCCUUAACCUCCUUCCCCUUCAAGAUUCAGGGGUCCAGGCCACUAUCCCUUCUUCUCCUUCAAAGACCCAGGGGUCGUGGUUCCCAGUGCCCUCCUCCCUAGGACCCAGGUCCUCCCUCUACCAAGAUCUAGGAGUCAGGGCUCCCAGCCCCUCCUCCCUCAGACCUAGGAGUUAGGGCCCCAGCCCCUCCUCCCUCAGACUCAGGAGUCCAGGCCCCAGCCCUCCUCCCUCUGACCUAUGUGUCUGGGGCCCCAGCCCUUUCCACAUCCAGAAGUUAGGGUUACAGGCUGCUUCUAUCCCUAACUCCCUCAGAGCUUUUCAUAAGUCUACCCACAGGGUCAGCUUCCUGACCUCCACUUUAACCCUGCUCUCUCUCCAGUCCAGGUCCCCAUCCCAGCCUUGGAAAUGACCCUGGCAGCUUCCUCCCAGCGCUCCCAAAUCAUCCGCUCCAAGUUCCGAUCUGGUGAGAGGCCGUUUGGGAAGUGGUCCUGGGCUUCUGGAAACGGGUCUACUCUGGGGUGGGAGAAGGUAGGAGGACCCGUGAGGCAUGUAUUUUCUGUGCAAAAGGUCACUCAGCAUAAAGGUGUCCAGCAAAGGGGUCGAAUUGAGGUAGGCCACUAAGUGUGCAAAUGGCUAGGUCAGCAAAGAGGAGUGGGCAGCUAGGGGUGGGUGUGCAGAUCAGGCACUGCAAAGAACAAGGCUUCAUCUGAAAUGUAUGUUCAGCAGACAUGCGCACACAAUGGGGACUUUGGAGGACAGGGUGGGAGUUUGGUGAGGGGACAAUGAGCUAUCGAGCCUUGAAAGUGUCAAAAGUUGUGUUUUAGAUUCCAGGGUAAGUGCAAGAUAUGCAAUGCGCAGAACUGGGGGUCAAUUCCUGAGUAGGCAAAGGGCACCCAAGUGCAAGGGAGUGUGGUUACAUGGUUGGGUGUACAAAGACACUAAUAACGGAAGAGCAAAAAUGUGCAAAAAGACACACAUGUGCAAAGAGCAGAAUUGUGCAAUGGGACAGCCUUGCUCCAAAAUUAGUGGCCAUGUCCUUAGGGUGCAAAUAAGAAUGUCAAUGUGGCUGGGUGGGUGCCAAGGCAGAGUGAGCCAAGGAUGAAGUGUGUAGGUUACAAAUACACGGAAGUGGCAUAUGUAGAUCUAGAGCCCAGAGAUGCGUUUCAAGGGUUGGUGUGCAGACUACGGGAUGACUGUGGGAAGGGCAAAAGGGGAGCACAGAAAGAAGUUGGCGCUGCAGAGUGGGGUUCAUGGAUAAAAGGAGGUGAGGUGCAAACGGGCCGGGCUGCCAAGAUGGCGAUUUUCCUGGGGGUGGCGUGGGCACUGACUCGUGAGGGGCAGGUGGAGCUGGGGUGGGGCUGCCUACUGCCUGCAGGCUGGCUGGCUCCUAGCCCUAGAGCAGCUCUGGCCCGAGGCACUGCGCUGGCAGGGAGCAGGCGGGAGGCCCGGGAAAGGGAGCGGGCUGCCUGCCCACCCGCCUGCAGGGGUGUGUAAGGGGGCUGGGCACUUGUGUCCUGCCAACAACUGCAACUCCCACCCGCCUGCCAAGCCAGGCUCCUGGACACUCCCUUCCCGCCUUCCUCCUCCCACCUCCCUCCUCCUUCCACAGUCCUCCAGCUUCGGAUCCACAGACGGAAUCAGGACCCCAGUAAGUGUGGGCCCUGAGUGGGAGGGGAUGGUGGCCCCAUUUCCCUGGGACAUCCUGGAGUACAGCUAUGCAAGGUCCCUCACUGGUUCCUGUAGCUUGGUUCCUAUACCCCACCCAGGAUACACUGAAAUUCCAUCCUGUCCUUUCCCAAGGAUCCAGGAAUCCAGGUCCUUGGUCAUCCCACCCCUGGGAGCUCUGCUUCCUGCUCUCCAGUUUUCCCACCCCAACAGAUGCAUGAUUCCAGAUGCUCUUUGGAGGAGACAGGCUUCCCAGACUCCACUCCACAUUCCGUUCACAUAGGAAUGUCAGACUGUGGCUCUCAGCUUCUCCGUCUCCCCAAGAACCAGGAGUGCAGGCCCCCACCCCUGUCCCAGCAAAACCCCAGACAUCUGUGAUCCUCAACUAACACACCCCUUGGUGACAGAGCUUGCUGCCUUCUUGAGAAUGUGAAAAUCUGGGCCCCUAGAUCCAGGAGUCCAGGCAUCCAGCUGCCAGGGCUUGUCCUCCCACACCCCAGGGAGGCUGGGUCCUCCUUUCCCACAGCUUUGCUCCUCCUUGCUGGCUAAAUGCCUCCAGGCCACUCAGGUCUUUCACUGUCUCUCCAGCCUCAGAUUCAGAUCCGUGGAUCUCAGCCUCCGGCCCAGCUCUGGCCCCAGCUUUGCCCUUGGUCCCUGCCUCUUUCCUCUUCAGCCCUGGCGUCUUGCUCCCUGAGACGGAAUAUUGUCCUUGGAGGUCCCCAAAGAAGGUGAGUCUUGACUAGAGUGAGAGGAAGUCCCUCUGAGUCUAGCCUUGGUCCUCCUUGCCACUGCCCCAUCUGCUCCUCUUUGGUGACUGCCAACCCCACUGUGCAGUGGGCUCUGGGGCAGGAAGGCAGGAACUGAGCUGAAGCAUGGGACAUCACACUUGCUGUUUUAGGAGUCUUCCAAGACCUCCCAACGCUGGAGCGAAUCCAAGCCCAGGGGAAACUUAACAUACCACCAGUACAUGCCCCCGGAGCCGAGACAAGGGUCCAGGGCAGACCCCCAAGUUGAGAGGUCAGCCCUGGGUCCCCAGGGGCCACCUCUGUGGGAAGGGACAAACUCACAGCAGCUACAUUCUAGGUAUGACCCUCAUUUCUCUUCUCUGGGGACCCAGAAAUUCACAUCCCAUCAUCCUGCCUCAAAUCCACUGCUCAUGACAGGGUCCAGUCCGGAGCCCCUCCUUCCCCAGGACCCAACUCUCCAGCUCCCAGUCCUUCUCCUUUCAGACUCACACCCCCAGUUCCUCCUCUCCCACGAACAGAAAUCUAGCCCCAUGGUCUUGCUUCCUCAGAGAUCCAGAAUUCUGGGCUGUCACUUUCCUACAUUUUCUAGAGCCCCUGUUUAUGAGGACCUUAAUAUGCCUUUUCUCUCUCUGUCCCUUCUAAACUGUUCCUCCCUCACGACCAUCGCCAGAAUGAAGCCCACUCCCCUCACUCCCUUCCAACCAGGAGUCCCCAGCCCUUCUCCCCCUCCACACAAGUUGGAACUUCAGACCCUUAAACUGGAGGAGCUGACGGUGAGUUUGGGGGACAACUUUCCAGGUGUGUCCUUUCUUUUGGUGGGAUUAACCGCAGCCUCUGCCCCAAGGAAAUCCAGGAGUCUGGGUCCCCAGUUUCAUCUUUUGGAGGGUUCCAGAUCUUUCCUAUCUCGUUUCCCAAAUGUCCUCCCCAUUCCCGGCCUGCUGCCCAAGCACGCCCAGCACCCACUCUACCCGCCCCCUCCCCAGGUCUCAGAGCUCCGGCAGCAGCUGCGCCUGCGGGGCCUCCCGGUGUCCGGGACCAAGUCGAUGCUCCUGGAGCGCAUGCGCGGCGGUGCCCCGCCCCGCGAGCGGCAAAAGCCGCGGCGGGAGGACGGCGCGGCGGGUGCUCCCUGGCCACGCCUCAGGCCCAAGGCCCUGGGAACCUCCCGGCGGCAGGGCACGGUGAGGGCGGCACUAUGAGAGUGUGGGCCAAUGACGAGAAGACAAAACAGAUGGGGCGGAGGGUCGAAAACUCAGGAACCAAUGAAGUUGUGGGGAGAUGCUUGGCCCAGCAGAGAAAGCCCGGCGCAAGGGGGCGUGGCUAAGAGCAACUGGGGGAAGAAUCUUCAGUGAGGAGGAGCCAAUGAAAGGGCAGGGGGCGAGGCCAAAGGCGUGGUCCAGGAGUGAAGGGCCGGACCUGGGGGUGGAGCCACGGAUUGCGGGGGGGCUACGCGUGGUGGGCGUGGCUUAGGGAACUACCUCUUCGUGGUUGUAGACCAAGUCGAAUCCCGCGUCUCACAAGCCACCUCCUCCACGAGCGGCCGAGAGCCUAGUGGCCGCUCCGGCUCCGCCUCCGCCGCCGCCGCCGCCGCCUCCCCCUCCUCCUCCUCCGCCGCCGCCUCCGGCCACAGCCCUAACAGCUUCCUCAGCGCCCCUGACGCUGGAGGAGGAGCUGCAGGAAGCCAUCCGGAGGGCGCAGGUGAGAGGGUGCCGGAUCAAGUGGGUCUGGGAUGGUGGGUCUCCGCUCAGGUUCUGGGUGGGAUGCCAGAUUCACGCCGCGUCUGUUCGUCCACAGCUGCUUCCGAAUCGGGGCAUUGAUGACAUCCUGGAGGACCAGAUGGAGCCUGAUGGUAAGAGCCUAACUCCUGAGUUUGGGGGAGAAGGGGCCUGAGGUUCUGCACUCCUGGGUCCGAGGAAAGAAUGGGCUGAGGAACAGAACCAGAUCCAUGACUUCCUAAGCUCACACUCCAUUCCUUCCCCCGCAGACCCGCUGCCCCCCAUUCCUCUGGAUUUUCCUGGCUCCUUCGACGUGCUGUCCCCCUCCCCGGACUCUGAAGGCCUCUCAUCUGUCUUCUCCUCGUCACUCCCAACCCCCACGAACUCCCCAUCCACCUCUCCCAGAGGCCCCACGGAUUCCUUGGACUGGUUAGAGGCCCUGAGUGGGGGUCCUCCACUGGGCUCUGGCCCUCCAGCCCCCAGCAUCUUCUCUGCUGACUUAUCUGACUCCAGUGGCACCCGGCUCUGGGACCUGCUGGAGGAUCCGUGGUGAUGGGUUCUGGAGUUUUACAGGGACCCAGAACUGGUGGGGGUGAAGAUGGCAAAGAGACUCCGGGAAGGGAAAUGGAACAACUAGUAGAGCCCCUCCCACCACAGACACCCAAUCCCAAUCUGGCCCCUAACUGCUGCUGACAUGCCGAAUGCCUGGACUUUGCCUUCCUACGGGCCUUACCCCCUCUAUGGUUGUGUGGUUGGGGAUGGAGGUUCAUUUGCUGCUGCCCAAGGCAAACAAGCUGCUUUCUGCUUCCUUUUGAGACCUCAUGGAUGUUCUUAAUGCCCG
Molecule: long non-coding RNA, 5233 nt
Filed under: Marmota monax (woodchuck)
Lineage: Eukaryota; Metazoa; Chordata; Mammalia; Rodentia; Sciuridae
Source: RNAcentral